Molecule: ribosomal RNA, 761 nt
Filed under: Cladosporium perangustum
Lineage: Eukaryota; Fungi; Ascomycota; Dothideomycetes; Cladosporiales; Cladosporiaceae
Description: partial 18S ribosomal RNA
Rfam family: 5.8S ribosomal RNA (bases 430-584)
Source: RNAcentral
GUAUGGACAGUAAAGUCGUAACAAGGUUUUCUAAGGUGACCCGGGCAGAUGUAUCAUUUGAGGAAAAACCUUUUUUAGGAGGUGUGGCUCGCCACCUGUCCAAGUAAACUUGAGUUGCCUUUUUCAUACCCGCUGGCAUCGGUCGUCUUGUCCAGUGAGAGGUGGAAAGUUAUUAUCAGGCUUUCAUCAGACGAACUGGGCACAUUACCCAAUUUUUGGAAAGUAAAAGUCGUAACAAGGUCUCCGUAGGUGAACCUGCGGAGGGAUCAUUACAAGUGACCCCGGUUUUACCACCGGGAUGUUCAUAACCCUUUGUUGUCUGACUCUGUUGCCUCCGGGGCGACCCUGCCUUCGGGGCGGGGGGCUCGGGGUGGACACUUCAAACUCUUGCGUAACUUUGCAGUCUGAGUAAAUUAAUUAAUAAAUUAAAACUUUUAACAACGGGAUCUCUUGGUUCUGGCAUCGAUGAAGAACGCAGCGAAAUGCGAUAAGUAAUGUGAAUUGCAGAAUUCAGUGAAUCAUCGAAUCUUUGAACGCACAUUGCGCCCCCUGGUAUUCCGGGGGGCAUGCCUGUUCGAGCGUCAUUUCACCACUCAAGCCUCGCUUGGUAUUGGGCAACGCGGUCCGCCGCGUGCCUCAAAUCGACCGGCUGGGUCUUCUGUCCCCUAAGCGUUGUGGAAACUAUUCGCUAAAGGGUGUUCGGGAGGCUACGCCGUAAAACAACCCCAUUUCUAAGGUUGACCUCGGAUCAGUGAGAACCG